UCGGGAAUUUUGGGCAAUGGGGGCAACCCUGAUCCAGCAAUGCCGCGUGAGUGAAGAAGGCCUUCGGGUUGUAAAGCUCUUUUGUCAGGGAAGAAACGGUAGUAGCGAAUAACUAUUACUAAUGACGGUACCUGAAGAAUAAGCACCGGCUAACUACGUGCCAGCAGCCGCGGUAAUACGUAGGGUGCAAGCGUUAAUCGGAAUUACUGGGCGUAAAGCGUGCGCAGGCGGUUGUGUAAGUCAGAUGUGAAAUCCCCGGGCUCAACCUGGGAAUUGCAUUUGAGACUGCACGGCUAGAGUGUGUCAGAGGGGGGUAGAAUUCCACGUGUAGCAGUGAAAUGCGUAGAUAUGUGGAGGAAUACCGAUGGCGAAGGCAGCCCCCUGGGAUAACACUGACGCUCAUGCACGAAAGCGUGGGGAGCAAACAGGAUUAGAUACCCUUGUAGUCCCUGAG
This 454-nucleotide ribosomal RNA is filed under the name uncultured bacterium. RNAcentral describes it as "bacterial SSU rRNA". It matches the Rfam family "Bacterial small subunit ribosomal RNA", at positions 355 to 801 of the family's 1533-position model. The record is from RNAcentral.